GUCCAGCAACAUCCCUCAGCAGGUUAGAGCGUGGUGCUGACAACGCCAAGGUUGCAGGUUCGAUCCCCGUUAAGGGACA
Non-coding RNA from Podarcis lilfordi (Lilford's wall lizard), 79 nucleotides. Lineage: Eukaryota; Metazoa; Chordata; Lepidosauria; Squamata; Lacertidae. The record is from the annotation of a GenBank genome assembly.